GCAAAGAGAAGACGGCGCAGGCUUCGUAGCGCCGGCCUCGCUCAGUUUCGUGUUCUUGCUGAGCUGUGUUUGGGACCAGGUUAGGGGGGCGGCUGCGGAAGCGCCGGGGAAGCGCCGAGAAAGCGGAAGAGAAAGGCGGAAAGUGAAAGGAGCCGAAGAAUUGGAAAGGGAAAGAAAGAAAGGGGGUUGAGAGAAGAGUGUCGUCCUGGCUGUUCCGGCAGGAAGGGGUUACAGGCGGCUGAUGUAGUGAGCCACGCGUGUCCCAGCCAUAUCUGAGUUAUGAGUGGUUGCAGGGAAAGGGGGGAGGUGAGAGACUUGCAAUCCCCGCAUCCGAGGCUUUUCUCUUCCUUUUCUACCAAGUUGUUCACAGCAAUGGGUAAAAGUCCCAACCCGCGGAGGAGUAAACCAGUUGUGAGAUAGACACAGACCCUGGAAGAGAAACCGAGGGUCAAGACGCGAGAUACCUGCAGAGACAAAACUUGGCCACACGGGAAAUUGGAAAUCAAGAUUGUUCAGAAGUUUGUAAUGUGGUUUUCAUGUUUGAUAUUCGUUGUCUUAUUAAUGUGUGGAAAUAUUUAACUUGCAAGUGCAUAAUCCACUGGUUCUGUGGUGUGGUGUGGACACACCGUAUAAAACUUUUGACCAUCUCAAAAACCAGAUUUAUCACACCUUAACAGCUGUUCUGAAGGCUGUAGAGCUCUCGGCAUAUGAAGGCUCCCUCUGAACCUCUGCACUGAGACUUGUCCAAACUCUUGCUGACGAAAGUUCAAUUAACUGUCAAGAAGAAAAAAAGGGAAUUUUAUUUCAGCCAAACUGACGGUGAUAACACAGGAAGCAGUCUCAGAAAGCUCUGAGGACCAUUCUGCCUGUUAGAAGUCGAAGGCACAGUCAUAUACAUUUUUGAAACAAAGGAUCAUACAUCAAAAUGAUCGACUAAUAUUUUACAUAAACUUCACCAAAGACACGUAGUCCAGACAGAUUAACAGGGGACUUCCCUGGUGGCGCAGUGGUUAAGAAUCCGCCUGCCAAUGCAGAGGACACAGGUUUGAUCCCUGGUCCGGGAAGAUCCCACAUGCCGCGGAGCAACUAAGCCCGUGCGCCACAACUACUGAGCCUGCGCUCUAGAGCCCGCGAGCCACAACUACUGAAGCCUGCGCGCCUAGAGCCCGUGCUCCACAACAAGAGAAGCCCCCGCAGUAAGAAGCCCGCACACCGCGACGAAGAGUAACCCUCGCUUGCCGCAACUAGAGAAAGCCGCGCGCAGCAAUGAAGACCCAACGCAGCCAAAAAUAAAUAAAUACAUUUAUUUUUUUUUAAAAAGACAGCAAACUACAUUUGCAUCCCUUAACUAGGGAAGGGCAAACAUCAAGUUUCAAGGAAGCAUCUGGACUGUGGACGCUGUCAAUUAGCCUUGUAACUUUAAAAGGAAUUUAUCAAAUUUAUCAAAACAAGUGACAACUAACCCUGUAAGAUCGGCUCAGGAGACCAGGAGAACGCGAGUAAAAGAUGACUGGCUGCACACCUAGUCGGGGCUGCGGGACGCAGAACUAGGAAGCUUUGCACUCCUCUGGGUUUGGUCCGUCCCACAUUUCUGAGCUCAGGAGCAGUCGCCCCACACUGCAGUUUGAGCCAAUUGCGACAGGCCUAACCACCCCCAGCCCAGCCCAGCGGAAGGAACGGUUUCGGAGCUGUUUGUUUCCCUUUGAUAAACGAGCCCUUCCUUGUUCUUGCUUCUACUCUCUCUGGUAUUUGAUGCAACAGCCCCCCAGAAGCAAUUUAGAGUGACUGGUAAAACAAAGUAUACCAAACCCUCGCAGCAACCAAAAGGAUGGAGUUCCUUCUGGACUGCCUCCAGCUUCGGCCCUUACUGCUCAUCUGCACCCUAAGAGUCUCUCCUGAAGCUUCUCGUUCCGAAGAAGAGCAAAGCAGUCACCGGAGAAACCGUUCUGAUUACUGGAGCUGGACACGGAAUUGGGAGACUGACUGCCUAGAAUUUGCCAGACUUAAAUGCAGACUGGUCCUGUGGGAUAUAAAUAAGGCAUGUGGGAUCUUAAUUCCCCGACCAGGGAUCAAGCCUGUACCCCCGAAUUUGGAAUGUGGAGUCUUAACCACUGGGCCGCCAGGGACGCCCCUGAUCCC
Long non-coding RNA from Physeter macrocephalus (sperm whale), 2139 nucleotides. RefSeq lists it as uncharacterized. NCBI's taxonomy places the organism in Eukaryota, Metazoa, Chordata, Mammalia, Artiodactyla, Physeteridae. The transcript is spliced from 3 exons. The record is from RefSeq and is a predicted model, not a curated record.